GGGCCCAUAGCUCAUUUGGUAGAGCGCUUCCAUGGCAUGGAAGAGGUGACCGGUUCGAGCCCGGUUGGGUCCACCA
RNAcentral lists this transfer RNA (76 nucleotides) under Candidatus Doudnabacteria bacterium RIFCSPHIGHO2_01_FULL_50_67. RNAcentral describes it as "tRNA-Ala". It matches the Rfam family "tRNA". Rfam says of the family: Transfer RNA (tRNA) molecules are approximately 80 nucleotides in length. The record is from RNAcentral. Lineage: Bacteria; Candidatus Doudnaibacteriota. RNAcentral also lists the same sequence under 5 other names.